Molecule: transfer RNA, 63 nt
Filed under: bovine gut metagenome
Rfam family: tRNA
About the family: Transfer RNA (tRNA) molecules are approximately 80 nucleotides in length. Their secondary structure includes four short double-helical elements and three loops (D, anti-codon, and T loops). Further hydrogen bonds mediate the characteristic L-shaped molecular structure. tRNAs have two regions of fundamental functional importance: the anti-codon, which is responsible for specific mRNA codon recognition, and the 3' end, to which the tRNAs corresponding amino acid is attached (by aminoacyl-tRNA synthetases). tRNAs cope with the degeneracy of the genetic code in two manners: having more than one tRNA (with a specific anti-codon) for a particular amino acid; and 'wobble' base-pairing, i.e. permitting non-standard base-pairing at the 3rd anti-codon position.
Source: RNAcentral
CAUAGUUCAGUUGGUUAGAGCGUCAGAUUGUGGUUCUGAAUGUCGUGGGUUCGAGUCCCACUG